UUCCGGUUGAUCCCGCCGGAGGUUACUGCUAUCGAGGUUCGACUAAGCCAUGCGAGUCGAAUGUAGCAAUACAUGGCGAACUGCUCAGUAACACGUGGACAACCUGCCCUUAGGUUGGGUAUAAACCCGGGAAACUGGGUAUAAUACCCGAUAGGUCUCGAUUGCUGGAAUGCAUCGAGAUUUAAAGCUCCGGCGCCUAAGGAUGGGUCUGCGGCCUAUCAGGUAGUAGUGGGUGUAGCGUACCUACUAGCCUACGACGGGUACGGGUUGUGAGAGCAAGAGCCCGGAGAUGGAUUCUGAGACACGAAUCCAGGCCCUACGGGGUGCAGCAGGCGCGAAAACUUUACAAUGCUGGCAACAGCGAUAAGGGAACCUCGAGUGCCAGGUUACAAAUCUGGCUGUCGAGAUGCCUAAAAAGCAUUUCAUAGCAAGGGCCGGGCAAG
This 443-nucleotide ribosomal RNA is filed under the name uncultured archaeon. RNAcentral describes it as "bacterial SSU rRNA". It matches the Rfam family "Archaeal small subunit ribosomal RNA", at positions 1 to 450 of the family's 1478-position model. The record is from RNAcentral.